This is a long non-coding RNA of Betta splendens (Siamese fighting fish), 1099 nucleotides long. RefSeq lists it as uncharacterized. NCBI's taxonomy places the organism in Eukaryota, Metazoa, Chordata, Actinopteri, Anabantiformes, Osphronemidae. The transcript is spliced from 2 exons. The record is from RefSeq and is a predicted model, not a curated record.
ACGACUGCGGACCCCCGCUGCGUCGCUGCUCACACAUGGGCGAUUACUGCAGCCCUCCCACUGCUAAAACUGGGUGCUCUCCUCACAAAGCGGCACCAGCUUCCCUCCCCUUCUCCUUUUAACGUGAUUGACUUUCAGGAUGGCGAUGGUGCAUUAGUCCACAAAGGAAACUCGGCUGAACUGAAGACUCAAAGGAAGUUUCCUUGAAUGAGGCUUGAUGUGGUCUCCUGUGGCACGAACGGCGCUGAAGGAGCUGCAGAGUUAAACUUGUUCACGAGGGGGAACGCGGCUGCGUGGUUUUUUUUUUACAUGUUUGAUGUCGCACAACAGAAGCGCACAGAGCCCGGAAGCGCUGCGCCUGUGAACCAGCAACACAGCGCAGCUCCAAACUCAGAGUGCCGCGUCAGCGUUCGGCAUUGCUGACUUUCCCUCCUUUUUCGCUUUCCCUCUCAUGCCAGUCAAAACAAAAACAUCCAGGCAGAGAAAAUGGCAGCGAAAGCAUCAGGAGCCGGAACCUGUGGGGAAAACGGGGACGAUGAGGAUGAGUGAACGACGACCCGGCCGCCGUCGAGCCUUCGAGCUUCGAUCGCUCGCUUGAUUGCAACCUCAAACACUCGAGGCGACAAUUGAUUAUGUCUGUUUUCCUCGCGGCACUCGAGAAAGCACUUGAACGCAGCAGAGACGAGCGUUCGGGUUGGCGGCGACGCCGGCGCGUCGGCUGUUGUUGCUGGUUCGAGUGCGGAAACCCAAGCGUGACCAGCAAUCAGUGCGCAAUCAGCAAUUUUAGCCUCACAAUGCGGCUGGUUGAAUGUGAAUCACUUACAGAAUUACCAUAAAGCUUACAAGCCUUUAUUAUUGAUUACUAUAUCAAAUUACAGUGUACUGAAUGAGUCAGUAACCUUUUUUAUUAUUAUUAUUUUUGCUUCACUGCACCAGAAAAAAAGUGCACAAGCUGUUAUUGUGCGUGAGGUCGGAUACACUGGUUUGCCAUUUUAUCUAGCAGACACUGGGCUUUUAUUAAAUCAGGGUCCUCUGUCACAGAUAUGAUGGAUGCCGUUACCGAAGCACAGCUGUAUUAAAAAAAGUCCAUAAAACCUCA